RNAcentral lists this transfer RNA (94 nucleotides) under Phaeomoniella chlamydospora. It matches the Rfam family "tRNA". Rfam says of the family: Transfer RNA (tRNA) molecules are approximately 80 nucleotides in length. Lineage: Eukaryota; Fungi; Ascomycota; Eurotiomycetes; Phaeomoniellales; Phaeomoniellaceae. The record is from Rfam by way of RNAcentral.
GGGGUGCUAGCUCAGUGGUAGAGCGCUCCUUUCGCACUUCAUUAGAAGUAAUAGGAAAUAGGAGAGGUCGGGAGUUCAAUUCUCCCGUACUCCA